CAAUAGCGUAUAUUAAAGUUGUUGCAGUUAAAAAGCUCGUAGUUGGAUUUCUGGUUGAAGCGACCGGUCGGGCGUUGAUUCGUCUGCACUGGAGUCGGUUUUGGCCAUCCUCUAGGAAAGUGCGUCUGGUAUUAAGUUAUCGGGCGUAUGAUCCUGGUCUUUUACUGUGAAAAAAUUAGAGUGUUUAAAGCAGGCCUUCGCCUUGAAUACAUUAGCAUGGAAUAAUAGAAUAGGACUACGGUCUCUUUGUUGGUUUGAGGGACUGCAGUAAUGAUUAAUAGGGAUAGUUGGGGGCAUUAGUACUUAACUGUCAGAGGUGGAAUUCUCAGAUUUGUUAAAGACUGACUUAUGCGAAAGCAUUUGCCAAGGAUGUUUUCAUUAA
This 382-nucleotide ribosomal RNA is filed under the name uncultured eukaryote. RNAcentral's name for it is "partial 18S ribosomal RNA". It matches the Rfam family "Eukaryotic small subunit ribosomal RNA", at positions 592 to 976 of the family's 1831-position model. The record is from RNAcentral.